AGUUUCCUCCCACAUUCCAAAACAUGGGUUUGUGGGUUAAGUAGCUGCUGUAAAUUGUGAGGCAAGUUUGUUAUCUGACAUAUGUUGUGAAAUCUGCUGAUUAUGGCAGCAGUACAGUGAAAUACAUAAAAUUACUAGAAACAUCAGUAAGAAAUAUAAUAAAAAUUAACAAGUAGUGCAAAAGAUGGUACAACGCUCCCUCGGUUGGCAUCUUCCAGUCAGCCCACCGCAAUGUCUAUUUUACAUCUUGUACGUCUGUUUUUCAUCUUUAGUUUGUUCCUGGGGCUGUCAGAGCCUGCGAUUUACAGUUUGGAGAUCAUUUGAAUGAUCCAGCACUUUGCUGUCUCUGAGAAGAUUCCAGGAAGUGAAUGCGAACUUGGAUUUUCUUUGCUGCAAAGAAACUUGGAGACUGGGCAAUUUCCAACACCAUUGCGCCGUUCAAAGCAUCCAUUAAUCACCAAUUAAAGUGUUGAGGAAGACUAAGAUUUCGAGGCGAAUGUAGAAGGUGAAAGUUCAGUGCCGACUGCCUGCCUUUUGAUCGCUGCUGGAGAAGGGGUCUGAGAGCAGCCUAUCGCUGUGUGGCUGGCUGACGCAGGCGGGUUCUACCAAUCAUCCCAACACCAGGAGCAAGUUACGGUGGUCAUGGGGAUGUGGGAGGAAACUGAGGCACGCAGGGGAGAUCGACACGGUCUCAGGGUGAAUGCACAAAUUCCACACACAGUGUCAGAGGUCAGGAUCAAACCUGGGGCUCUACCCGCUGUGCCACUGUCAGUUGUCGUCAUCUGCAGGGUGAAACAAACCUUUCUAACACUUACCUUUGACAAUGGGAACCAAAGAUGUGGGAGCUCUCACAAAGACAUUGAAGAAUCAGCCGCUGUCUCCUCUUGCUCUCCUGGAUAACACCACUGGGCAAAGGUACAGCCGCCUCCCCUCGAGAGUCUCAAGCCCUCUGGGGAACAAGAGCAGGAUGUACAGCCCAGUCCAUCACAGGAAAAGCCCUCCCCACCAUUGAACAUAUGUACUAGGAGUACUUCCACAGGAAAACAGCAGCCAGCCAGGCCAUCCUCUCUACUCACUACUGCCAUCGGACAGGAGGCACGGGAGCCUAAGGUCCCAGGAUCAGACCAUCAGUUUCAAACUCCUGUCCCAGCCUGGACAACCUCACUCUCCUCAACUCUGAACGACUCUACGACCUACAGACUCACUUUCAGGGACCCUUUACAACUCACGCUCUCAGUAUUACUGUACUUCUGUUUGGACAUUUUGUCUUCUUUUGCAUAUUGCUGUUUGUCAGGUUUUGCCUGUUUAUGAAUAGCUUCUCAUAAAAUGUUCUUUAUUUUUUGCUCGGUAAAUGCCUGCAAGAAAAUUAAUCUCAAGGUAGUACACGGUCAUUUAAAGGCUCUUUAAUAAUAAAUUUGAACUUUGAACUUG
Molecule: long non-coding RNA, 1431 nt
Organism: Hypanus sabinus (Atlantic stingray)
Lineage: Eukaryota; Metazoa; Chordata; Chondrichthyes; Myliobatiformes; Dasyatidae
Exons: 2
Source: RefSeq, a predicted model, not a curated record